CCCUUCGAUGUUCUGGGCUGCACGCGCGCUACAAUGGCAACGACAGAGAGCGUGAAUUAAUUAUAGAGUCGCAUCGAGAGAUGUGACGAAUCAGCAAUCGUUGUCGUGAUUGGGAUUGAGCGUUGUAAUAUUUGCUCAUGAAAGAGGAAUUCCUCGUAAGCGCGAGUCACCAACUCGUGUUGAAUACGUCUCUGCCCUUUGUACACACCGCCCGUCGCUCCUACCGAUUGAGUGGUCCGGUGAGGCUUUGGGAUCUGAGCGGAAAGAGCGUUUCGCUGUUUCUGCUCGGAAAACUCAGUCGAACCUUAUCAUUUAGAGGAAGGAGAAGUCGUAACA
RNAcentral lists this ribosomal RNA (336 nucleotides) under uncultured eukaryote. RNAcentral describes it as "partial 18S ribosomal RNA". It matches the Rfam family "Eukaryotic small subunit ribosomal RNA", at positions 1470 to 1796 of the family's 1831-position model. The record is from RNAcentral.